Molecule: long non-coding RNA, 608 nt
Filed under: Ananas comosus (pineapple)
Lineage: Eukaryota; Viridiplantae; Streptophyta; Magnoliopsida; Poales; Bromeliaceae
Description: long non-coding RNA (ACOM_LNC005288)
Source: RNAcentral
UGUAUUUAUUGUGAAUUUUAGAAUGCUUAACAUCCCUAUGUCAUGUAUAAUGAAUUUUCGGACCUCUAUAUAGUAGAGAGAGAGUUGCAUGUGAAGCUUGCACUAGCAUUGGGCAUUCUUAUGUUGGACUCGAGACCAUGUUUCUUACAAUGAAAUUGGACAUUGCUUCAUGCAUUUAAACCUAUACCUAAUUGAGACAUAAGGGACUUUAGUAAGCCUUAAGAGGCUUGGGGACUUGUACUACUUGAGAAUGAUUGGGCUAAUGUCAUAAAGGGGCAUUGAGCUCGGGUUAAAUGAGAACCUAGUACUAAUGUCAUGAAUGGAACAUAGAAUAUGAAAUGUGUUUAAUUUAUAACAAGCUUAAGUGUCAUAAAGAGGCACUAAGCAUAGUGAGUGUUGGAACAUCACCUUGAGACAUUGAACUAGAUCUUUGGGAUGCUAGUGGCUUUGACCAUGUUAGAGACAUGAUGAUUGGACAUUUGAGACAUUGACUACGCUUGCUUGCCAUUUGUGCUUAUUCGCACACGCUUGUGAGGGUCGCUCCCUACAAGCCGGCACUCCGGAGUUGGCCUACGCGACUUAUACUCGGUCGUGCGGUAUCGAGAAAC